RNAcentral lists this ribosomal RNA (659 nucleotides) under uncultured marine bacterium. Its description in RNAcentral is "bacterial SSU rRNA". It matches the Rfam family "Bacterial small subunit ribosomal RNA", at positions 94 to 751 of the family's 1533-position model. The record is from RNAcentral.
ACCGGCGCACGGGUGCGUAACGCGUAUGCAAUCUACCUUGUACAGGGGGAUAGCCCAGAGAAAUUUGGAUUAAUACCCCAUAGUAUCUUUUGAAGGCAUCUUCAAAUUAUUAAAGUUCCAACGGUACAAGAUGAGCAUGCGUCCCAUUAGUUAGUUGGUGUGGUAACGGCACACCAAGACGAUGAUGGGUAGGGGUCCUGAGAGGGAGAUCCCCCACACUGGUACUGAGACACGGACCAGACUCCUACGGGAGGCAGCAGUGAGGAAUAUUGGGCAAUGGAGGCAACUCUGACCCAGCCAUGCCGCGUGCAGGAAGACGGCCCUAUGGGUUGUAAACUGCUUUUGUACGGGAAGAAACACUCCUACGUGUAGGAGCUUGACGGUACCGUAAGAAUAAGGAUCAGCUAACUCCGUGCCAGCAGCCGCGGUAAUACGGAGGAUCCAAGCGUUAUCCGGAAUCAUUGGGUUUAAAGGGUCCGUAGGCGGCCUUAUAAGUCAGUGGUGAAAUCUCCCAGCUCAACUGGGAAACUGCCAUUGAUACUGUAGGUCUUGAAUUUUUGUGAAGUAACUAGAAUAUGUAGUGUAGCGGUGAAAUGCUUAUAUAUUACAUGGAAUACCAAUUGCGAAGGCAGGUUACUAACAAACGAUUGACGCUGAUG